UCGGGCAUCGUCUAACGGCAGGACAUCGGGUUCUGGUCCCGAGAGUCAAGGUUCGAAUCCUUGUGCCCGAA
RNAcentral lists this transfer RNA (71 nucleotides) under Persicimonas caeni. It matches the Rfam family "tRNA". Rfam says of the family: Transfer RNA (tRNA) molecules are approximately 80 nucleotides in length. Their secondary structure includes four short double-helical elements and three loops (D, anti-codon, and T loops). Lineage: Bacteria; Deltaproteobacteria; Bradymonadales; Bradymonadaceae. The record is from Rfam by way of RNAcentral.